CCCUUACCAUGCAUUUGUUAUUAGCCAGAAAGCCAGCCCCUCUCUCCCCCUCUCCCUCUCCCGCUUUUCCCCUCUCUUCUUCUCUCCUGUUCCUGGGGUGAUACCUUAGGAACUGUGCAUGGGCAAAGCAAUCAGUGACAACAGUAGUUUCAGGUAAUAAUGACCUUUGUUCUUGGGGAAUGCAAAACUGAAAAACAUCUCAUGAUGAGGUAGGCGAUUUAAAUAAGAUGUGCACCAUCUGGUCACGGACACCCAGCUUUAAGAAGGUGCCUACCAAUCCAGGAUCACCCUCCUCCUGUAUAAACGGCAGAUAACAGCUUCCAGGGAAAGGGAAUGACAGAGAAGCAGCUGCCUCUGGAAAACUGGAUAAAGCAAGAGGACACUAUGUUGUGCGCUAGGCAGACUGAAUCUUUUGCUACCUAGGUACUCAGAAGCUGCUGCAACCAUGAUCCAAGAGGUCUUGGCUACUGCUUUUGAUGAGAGCAGACUAUGGUAUGGUGCACAUGAUUCGGAUUUUACUGGUAUGCAGAAUGCAAGAGUUGUGGGUCAAGAAGACUUCCACCUCAUUUUCCAAGGAAGGGCUCAGUAACCAUGGCAGUGAGUUAAACUGUAGCAAUGAAGGUGGAGGUGCUGUGAGACCCCGGGAAGUCAAAGAUGCCAGGAA
Long non-coding RNA from Heterocephalus glaber (naked mole-rat), 664 nucleotides. The record is from Ensembl. Lineage: Eukaryota; Metazoa; Chordata; Mammalia; Rodentia; Bathyergidae.